CUGCACUGUGGGAUGAGGUAGUAGGUUGUAUAGUUUUAGGGUCAUACCCACAACUGGGAGAUAACUAUACAAUCUACUGUCUUUCCUAAAGCAGCAGA
Molecule: microRNA precursor, 98 nt
Organism: Crocodylus porosus (Australian saltwater crocodile)
Lineage: Eukaryota; Metazoa; Chordata; Crocodylia; Crocodylidae
Source: Ensembl